Molecule: microRNA precursor, 105 nt
Filed under: Caenorhabditis remanei
Lineage: Eukaryota; Metazoa; Nematoda; Chromadorea; Rhabditida; Rhabditidae
Description: mir-47
Rfam family: mir-46/mir-47/mir-281 microRNA precursor family (bases 8-94)
About the family: The hairpin precursors (represented here) are predicted based on base pairing and cross-species conservation -- their extents are not known.
Source: RNAcentral
AAAAAAAGCCGAGUGAGACUGAAGAGAGCAUUCUGUUGACAGUUCGAUUCCGAACUCCUACUGUCAUGGAGGCGCUCUCUUCAGGUGAUCUCUGGCUAGUUUUUC